CCUACGGGUGGCAGCAGUGAGGAAUAUUGGUCAAUGGACGUAAGGCUGAACCAGCCAAGUCGCGUGAAGGAAGAAGGAUCUAUGGGUUGUAAACUGCUUUUAUAGGGGGAUAAAUGUCUCCACGUGUGUCUAUUUGCAUGUACCCUAUGAAUAAGCAUCGGCUAACUCCGUGCCAGCAGCCGCGGUAAUACGGAGGGUGCAAGCGUUAUCCGGAUUUACUGGGUUUAAAGGGUGCUUAGGUUGUUGUUUAAGUCAGCGGUGAAAUUUUGUGGCUCAACCAUAGAACUGCUUUUGAAACUGGGAGACUUGAGUGUGGUUGAGGUAGGCGGAAUGCGUGGUGUAGCGGUGAAAUGCAUAGAUAUCACGCAGAACUCCGAUGGCGAAGGCAGCUUACUAAGCCAUAACUGACACUGAAGCACGAAAGCGUGGGGAUCAAACAGGAUUAGAUACCCGGGUAGUC
This 460-nucleotide ribosomal RNA is filed under the name uncultured bacterium. RNAcentral's name for it is "partial 16S ribosomal RNA". It matches the Rfam family "Bacterial small subunit ribosomal RNA", at positions 338 to 795 of the family's 1533-position model. The record is from RNAcentral.